Molecule: ribosomal RNA, 350 nt
Filed under: uncultured bacterium
Lineage: Bacteria
Description: partial 16S ribosomal RNA
Rfam family: Bacterial small subunit ribosomal RNA
Source: RNAcentral
CCUACGGGUGGCAGCAGUGAGGAAUAUUGGUCAAUGGGCGCUAGCCUGAACCAGCCAAGCAGCGUGAAGGAUGACUGUCCUAUGGGUUGUAAACUUCUUUUAUAUGGGAAUAAAUUGCAGUAUGUAUACUGCUUUGCAUGUACCUUAUGAAUAAGGAUCGGCUAACUCCGUGCCAGCAGCCGCGGUAAUACGGAGGAUCCGAGCGUUAUCCGGAUUUAUUGGGUUUAAAGGGUGAGUAGGCGGGUUGUUAAGUAGAUUGGUAAAGUUUGCGGCUAAACCGUAAAAUUGCAGUUGAUACUGGCAUCAUGGAGAACAGUAGAGGUAGGCGGAAUUCGUGGUGUAGCGGUGAA